GAUGAACGCGGGCGGCGUGCCUAAUACAUGCAAGUCGGGCGAACAGACGAGGAGCUUGCUCCUCUGACGUUAGCUGCGGACGGGCGAGUAACACGUGGAUAACCUACCUAUAAGACUGGGAUAACUUCGGGAAACCGGAGCUAAAACCGGAUAAUAUAUUGAACCGCAUGGUUAAGUAGUGAAAGACGGUUUUGCGGUCACUUAUAGAUGGAUCCGCGCGGCAUUAGCUAGUUGGUAAGGGAACGGCUUACCAAGGCAACGAUGCGUAGCCGACCUGAGAGGGUGAUCGGCCCCACUGGAACUGAGACACGGUCCAGACUCCUACGGGAGGCAGCAGUAGGGAAUCUUCCGCAAUGCGCGAAAGCCUGCCGGAGCAACGCCGAGUGAGUGAUGAAGGUCUUCGGAUCGUAAAACUCUCUUAUUAGGGAAGAACAAAUGUGUAAGUACCUAUGCACGUCUUGACGGUCCCUAAUCAGAAAGCCACGGCUAACUACGUG
RNAcentral lists this ribosomal RNA (497 nucleotides) under uncultured bacterium. RNAcentral describes it as "partial 16S ribosomal RNA". It matches the Rfam family "Bacterial small subunit ribosomal RNA", at positions 28 to 507 of the family's 1533-position model. The record is from RNAcentral.